AUGUCUUGGUUGGGCGCGAAGGUUCUAUCUGAGGCGAAAAGGUCAAUUUUUUGCAUUCCCCGACAUCAUUAAGAUGAGUCACCAGAGUGGUGCCACACUAUGUCUACCGAACGUCGCAUUUUCUCUGUAGACUGUUUCGGGACAUAGCAAGAGACGAUGGUUUUGGUUUCCAUGGGAAACGAUACGAAAGAGAGCAGCAUAAGUUAAACAGAUGCAUGCAAUCUGGCGUGACGCAACAAAAAGUCACAACCGAAGGUGGCGUGGGAGGAUCAAGAUUGGAACUCGUGCGUAACGUCAUUCAUCAGUAUCUAAAACGCAGGAAACGGUGAAGGUAAACCUGGACAGUUGUUGUGGAUUCUGAUAAAAGAAGACUCUGAGAGCAUUUACUUUCCUGAUAAAAAUCUAUCUAGUCACUCUGACGCAUGAGAAUAGAGCAGAGAUGGUAUCUUUUCUUCAUUAAGCACGCGGUAAAAAUCAGACACAGGAAAGCGCCAAAAUUAACCGGCCAAAAAAAUGGAAUUUCAAUUCCUAAUAAAAGUCACUGUUUACGGUGA
Long non-coding RNA from Stylophora pistillata, 554 nucleotides. RefSeq lists it as uncharacterized. Lineage: Eukaryota; Metazoa; Cnidaria; Anthozoa; Scleractinia; Pocilloporidae. The record is from RefSeq and is a predicted model, not a curated record.